CACGUAGGGUGCAAGCGUUGUCCGGAAUCAUUGGGCGUAAAGAGCUCGUAGGCGGCUUAGUAAGUCGGGUGUGAAACCUCCAGGCUCAACCUGGAGACGCCACCCGAUACUGCUAUAGCUAGAGUCCAGUAGGGGAGUGCGGAAUUCCCGGUGUAGCGGUGAAAUGCGCAGAUAUCGGGAGGAACACCAGCGGCGAAGGCGGCACUCUGGGCUGGUACUGACGCUGAGGAGCGAAAGCGUGGGUAGCGAACAGG
This 254-nucleotide ribosomal RNA is filed under the name uncultured bacterium. RNAcentral describes it as "partial 16S ribosomal RNA". It matches the Rfam family "Bacterial small subunit ribosomal RNA", at positions 524 to 776 of the family's 1533-position model. The record is from RNAcentral.